This 274-nucleotide ribosomal RNA is filed under the name uncultured bacterium. RNAcentral's name for it is "partial 16S ribosomal RNA". It matches the Rfam family "Bacterial small subunit ribosomal RNA", at positions 523 to 796 of the family's 1533-position model. The record is from RNAcentral.
AUACGGAGGGUGCAAGCGUUAAUCGGUAUUACUGGGCGUAAAGCGUGCGUAGGUGGUUUGUUAAGUCAGAUGUGAAAGCCCCGGGCUCAACCUGGGAACUGCAUUUGAAACUGGCAUACUAGAGUAUAGGAGAGGAAAGUGGAAUUUCAGGUGUAGCGGUGAAAUGCGUAGAUAUCUGAAGGAACAUCAAUGGCGAAGGCAGCUUUCUGGACUAAUACUGACACUGAGGUACGAAAGCGUGGGUAGCAAACAGGAUUAGAAACCCUAGUAGUCC